This 65-nucleotide transfer RNA is filed under the name Marmota marmota marmota (Alpine marmot). It matches the Rfam family "tRNA". Rfam says of the family: Transfer RNA (tRNA) molecules are approximately 80 nucleotides in length. Their secondary structure includes four short double-helical elements and three loops (D, anti-codon, and T loops). Further hydrogen bonds mediate the characteristic L-shaped molecular structure. tRNAs have two regions of fundamental functional importance: the anti-codon, which is responsible for specific mRNA codon recognition, and the 3' end, to which the tRNAs corresponding amino acid is attached (by aminoacyl-tRNA synthetases). tRNAs cope with the degeneracy of the genetic code in two manners: having more than one tRNA (with a specific anti-codon) for a particular amino acid; and 'wobble' base-pairing, i.e. permitting non-standard base-pairing at the 3rd anti-codon position. Lineage: Eukaryota; Metazoa; Chordata; Mammalia; Rodentia; Sciuridae. The record is from Rfam by way of RNAcentral. RNAcentral also lists the same sequence under 2 other names.
UGAGGUUUGGCUCAGUGGUAGAGCGCUUGCUUAGCAUGCAUGAGGCAGUGGGUUUUGAGCUUCAG